This 468-nucleotide ribosomal RNA is filed under the name uncultured bacterium. RNAcentral describes it as "partial 16S ribosomal RNA". It matches the Rfam family "Bacterial small subunit ribosomal RNA", at positions 28 to 507 of the family's 1533-position model. The record is from RNAcentral.
GACGAACGCUGGCGGCGUGCUUAACACAUGCAAGUCGAACGGAAAGGCCCUGCUUUUGUGGGGUGCUCGAGUGGCGAACGGGUGAGUAACACGUGAGUAACCUGCCCUUGACUUUGGGAUAACUUCAGGAAACUGGGGCUAAUACCGGAUAGGAGCUCCUGCUGCAUGGUGGGGGUUGGAAAGUUUCGGCGGUUGGGGAUGGACUCGCGGCUUAUCAGCUUGUUGGUGGGGUAGUGGCUUACCAAGGCUUUGACGGGUAGCCGGCCUGAGAGGGUGACCGGCCACAUUGGGACUGAGAUACGGCCCAGACUCCUACGGGAGGCAGCAGUGGGGAAUAUUGCACAAUGGGCGGAAGCAUGAUGCAGCAACGCCGCGUGCGGGAUGACGGCAUUCGGGUUGUAAACCGCUUUCGCCUGUGACGAAGCGUGAGUGACGGUAAUGGGUAAAGAAGCACCGGCUAACUACGUG